Molecule: ribosomal RNA, 253 nt
Filed under: uncultured bacterium
Lineage: Bacteria
Description: partial 16S ribosomal RNA
Rfam family: Bacterial small subunit ribosomal RNA
Source: RNAcentral
UACAGAGGGUGCGAGCGUUAAUCGGAAUUACUGGGCGUAAAGCGUGCGUAGACGGUUAUUUAAGUCGGGUGUGAAAUCCCCAGGCUCAACCUGGGAACUGCGUCUGAUACUGGAUGGCUUGAAUCCGGGAGAGGGAUGCAGAAUUCCAGGUGUAGCGGUGAAAUGCGUAGAUAUCGGGAGGAACACCAGAGGCGAAGGCGGGUUACUGGGCUGAUACUGACGCUGAUGCGCGAAAGCUAGGGGAGCAAACGGG